This is a long non-coding RNA of Apis florea (little honeybee), 261 nucleotides long. The record is from RefSeq and is a predicted model, not a curated record. NCBI's taxonomy places the organism in Eukaryota, Metazoa, Arthropoda, Insecta, Hymenoptera, Apidae.
AAAUAGAAAUCGAUAAAACGAUUAAUCGAUAUAUAGUUCGAUUUUUAAAUACGUUAAUAGUUUACCAGCUUGAACUAGCAGCACCAUCUGUGUUACCUCAAUAAUGAAUAUUCAACGUUUCGUUAUCUCAUUCCCUGGAAAGGUUUGAAAACAAGAUAUGCAGGAAAAUUCGCGUUUAAGAAUGGAAAUCAUUGACAUUACACGACAUUCCAAUUCAUUAUUUGCUGUUGAAAAGUCACAUCAGAGGAUUUUGAUCAGGUA